UUUACCUUUGUAAAGAAAUCUCAUUGUUCUCUGCUGUCUUUACCGACGACAUCUUAGUCCUGAUUUAUACUUCUG
Sinocyclocheilus rhinocerous is the source of this 75-nucleotide long non-coding RNA. RefSeq lists it as uncharacterized. The record is from RefSeq and is a predicted model, not a curated record. NCBI's taxonomy places the organism in Eukaryota, Metazoa, Chordata, Actinopteri, Cypriniformes, Cyprinidae. The transcript has 3 exons.